CCUACGGGGGGCAGCAGUGGGGAAUAUUGCACAAUGGGGGAAACCCUGAUGCAGCGACGCCGCGUGAGUGAGGAAGUAUUUCGGUAUGUAAAGCUCUAUCUGCAGGGAAGAAAAUGACGGUACCUGACUAGUAAUCUCCGGCUAACUACGUGCCAGCAGCCGCGGUAAUACGUAGGGGGCAAGCGUUAUCCGGAUUUACUGGGUGUAAAGGGAGCGUAGACGGCUAAUCAAGUCAGCAGUGAACACCCAGGGCUCAACCUUGGGACUGCUUUGGAAACUGAGUAGCUAGAGUGCAUGGAAGGUAAGCGGAAUUCCUGGUGUAGCGGUGAAAUGCGUAGAUAUUAGGAGGAACACCAGUGGCGAAGGCAGCUUACUGGACUGUAACUGACGCUGAGGCUCGAAGGCGUGGGGAGCAAACAGGAUUAGAUACCCUGGUAGUC
This 440-nucleotide ribosomal RNA is filed under the name uncultured bacterium. RNAcentral describes it as "partial 16S ribosomal RNA". It matches the Rfam family "Bacterial small subunit ribosomal RNA", at positions 338 to 795 of the family's 1533-position model. The record is from RNAcentral.